UCUGAUUGGUUGUCACCGAAUGUUUUCUCUGACUUCCGGCCACAUUAACGCUCUCGUCGGUGGCGGUGUGAACGCAUAGUAAGGAAACUGGCAUUAUUAACUCUGUCAAUUAACUCCAACUCUGAACAACAAUUUACUCUGAAUAUGUUAAAUUUACUCUUUAGGUGUUCAAUUCAAGUCAGAAAUGUUUAACACUGAAAUUUUUACUUUCCAAUUUUGCUGUGUACUUAAGCACAACUAUAUUGAAGAAGAAAACGGUUAACCAAAAGUACCUAUCAGACAUUGGCUGAAACACAAAAUGCUUUUUUCUGCUUUUGGUCUUUCUGCAUUAAAUUACCUCAGUGGGCCAUCAUGUUGCCUUGGUUUAUAUAGAAUCAUCUAGCCGGGUACCAUUGUAACAAUGCACAGAAAACGACAGCCAUUCUUGUACGUAGAUUUAAAUGGGUGACAUUUUUUUACUCUAUUGAAGUUCUUUGGCCUCAAAAAGCAAAAUUAAUAUCAAGUUAGUUUGAAGUAGGGAAAUGAAGGACAUUGCUGUCUCUUAAGAAGAAGAUCGUCAGUGGUUUCAGAAGGGUUACAAGUCGUCCUUCAACAAUACAAGACUGCAUUAGGUCUUGAGGCCUCUGUCCUUCAACAUGUUGAAGAAGAAGAUCAAAGUGACCUCAGCAGUCCAGAUACCAGCGAGGAUGAAGAGGAAAACAUAAUUUAGAUAGAAACUGCACAAAGGACUGCGUUUAAGGAAAUGGACUUGGCAUAUAUCUGUGUAGUGUUAGUAUGCUAACUACAUUAUUAUCUGUAUGCAUCCUAUAUUGUUAAAAUGUUCAACCUGUGUCUAGAUUAUCAAGCAUGUUAUUUAGCACGUUGAUGCUCCUUAAAUAUGCACAAACAUCUCAAUAUAGGUGCAACAAUCGUAUGAUAUUAUCAGAUGUAAUAAUUGAACUGAUGUUAUAUUUGGCUAGUGUAUUCAUAAUUUGUGUAUUUAAAGUUGCUAAUGGGCAUUGUUAGCCACAUCACAAACUCACUGUUAAAACACUGCUUAUUGUGCCUUAUUGUGUUUAUGUACUUGCAUUGGUGCAGUAAUAUUGAUGUAAUGCAGUAAGGUCAUUGGUGUGUUUUACAAUGGCUUUGAACAGAGCUCAAGCAAUCAGAAUAAUCAUUGAUAAUAAAGUAAAAGUUUUA
Misgurnus anguillicaudatus (oriental weatherfish) is the source of this 1179-nucleotide non-coding RNA. NCBI's taxonomy places the organism in Eukaryota, Metazoa, Chordata, Actinopteri, Cypriniformes, Cobitidae. The record is from RefSeq and is a predicted model, not a curated record.